RNAcentral lists this ribosomal RNA (253 nucleotides) under uncultured bacterium. RNAcentral describes it as "partial 16S ribosomal RNA". It matches the Rfam family "Bacterial small subunit ribosomal RNA", at positions 524 to 776 of the family's 1533-position model. The record is from RNAcentral.
UACGUAGGGUGCAGGCGUUAAUCGGAAUUACUGGGCGUAAAGCGUGCGCAGGCGGUUUCUUAAGUCAGAUGUGAAAGCCCCGGGCUUAACCUGGGAACUGCGUUUGAAACUGGGAGACUCGAGUGUGGCAGAGGGGGGUGGAAUUCCACGUGUAGCAGUGAAAUGCGUAGAUAUGUGGAGGAACACCGAUGGCGAAGGCAGCCCCCUGGGUUAACACUGACGCUCAUGCACGAAAGCGUGGGGAGCAAACAGG